GAAAUAGAAAGAUGCACAGGACUGAGGUGGGCUACAGUAACAUUUAGAAAUUAAAAUAGAAAAUAAGGUUAAACAACAACAACAACACAAUCAAUUCUACAUACGAAGGGACUAGACCCACUCCCAACUGAUGUUUGCUGCCUUGACUAUGACAACUCCAAAGUACAGAGCAGAUUUCUAGGUGGUGAAGGCAGCCAAAGACCUAGAGAGCCGGCAUUCCAGCCAAAGAACGUCGGCUUGUGGCGUAAAAACAAAACCCAAAUCAACCAACACCAGGUUUAAGAUAACCGGGAAAGAGCUUGAUACUCUCAACGCAAGCCUCACUCAGAUGCGCCUUGAAAGAUGUCUGGAGGAAAAGCUUAAAAACUUUCUCCAAAGGGCAACGUUCAACCACUUUUACCAUCUGGACUAGAAAAGGCACAAACAAGCAAAAUAUGAGGCAGGGUAAAUGCAAGCCUAAGACUGUAAAAGGAGAGUGAGGCGACGGGUUUGCAAGGUCAGCAAGUCGCUGAGUGGCUAAAUCAUGUGAACCUGAAGCAGAGCAGUUUUGCGCACAGGGAAAAAAAUUUUUUUAAAAAAAAGCAUAGUUAAGGAGCUUUUGGUCUUUUUUCUCUUCCAUUGUUGUUUUCCUCAGAAAUACCGCUUCAAUCAAAGUUUUGACAAUUAUGAAACAUGUCAGCUGAUAGCGAGAAUUCAUCAAAUGUGCCAUAAAUGACAAGAAAUGAGAAGCCAAAUCCUGAAAUUGGAUGGGCUUCAAAAGUCCCCGACAAUCACCACCAUCAAUCAUCCAGGCACAUCAAUCUUUGGCUGGAGGAAGUUUUGCAGAGAGCACGCGUGCAAGACAAAAAGCACAUGCAGCAAAGGGGUGCCAGACUCUAAAUGGAAAAGGAUGGCAUUCUAUUGUCAGGACUGUCUCUUAAGUUACCCAGAGGUUGCAAUUAUGCCGAGGCUAAGGUUGCAAUUAUGCCGAGGCUAAGCGAUGGGGACCAUUCAUCCCAUCACCAUAGUGAAAAUACAUGGAGGAGCUCCUGUUGUGGCUCAGCCUGUGGGUUAAGAACCCAACACAGUGUCCCUGAGGAUGCAGGUUCAAUCCCGGGCCUCGCUCAGUGGGUUAAGGAUCCAGAUCCAGUGUUGCCACAGCGUAGGACAUAAUGCUUGUCAUUUCUUCCUGAUCUAGAACACUUAGAGGAAUAAAGAGAAAACAAAAAUGUACUUCAAAACCAAGAUGUCCCCCCAGAAGACAAAGGAGUGAUUCUGGAUGUAACUACUGGGAACUCAUGUCAAACACACACCCAGUAUCAAAAAUCCAAACUCACAGUAGUCCCAGUUUUUCGGUGCAAUAUUGAAAACUGUAUCCUCAUCAGGAACACAAUUUCCUUCCCCGCAGAGCUAUGGGAAUGAUUGUCCUUAGAAUCUAAAUUGAACAUUUCUCUAAAUUCCUAAAUAGUCUGUAUUUGGACUUCUUUGGAAUUUAAAAGAAAAAAAUUGACAUGCUGGCUUCUUUAGAAACUUCCCACUCUUUCAGCAUGAGAACUUAAAUUUCAUGAAUUCAAGGGAUGCAGUUCCAUGACCUCUGUUGUGACCUGUGGAGAUAACUAACUCAUCCCUCUCCACUACCGUGAUCUGAGUGUGGGCCCUUAGCUCAUUAAACCGAUGAACAAAAACACUUAAGCAGCCAUGACCCUUUUUUUUGUGUGUGUGGUCUUUUUGUCUUUUCUAGGGCCACACCCGAGGCACAUAGAGGUUCCCA
This 1750-nucleotide long non-coding RNA is filed under the name Sus scrofa (pig). RNAcentral describes it as "lncRNA (ENSSSCG00005018259.1)". The record is from RNAcentral. Lineage: Eukaryota; Metazoa; Chordata; Mammalia; Artiodactyla; Suidae.